GACGAACGCUGGCGGCGUGCCUAAUACAUGCAAGUCGAGCGGAACUGGGGGAGCUUGCUCCUUCCAGUUUAGCGGCGGACGGGUGAGUAACACGUGGACAACCUGCCCUGCAGAUCGGGAUAACUCCGGGAAACCGGUGCUAAUACCGAAUAGUUUGGCGCCUCUCCUGAGGCGCUACGGAAAGACGGUUUCGGCUGUCACUGCAGGGUGGGCCCGCGGCGCAUUAGCUAGUUGGUGGGGUAACGGCCCACCAAGGCGACGAUGCGUAGCCGACCUGAGAGGGUGACCGGCCACACUGGGACUGAGACACGGCCCAGACUCCUACGGGAGGCAGCAGUAGGGAAUCUUCCGCAAUGGACGCAAGUCUGACGGAGCGACGCCGCGUGAGUGACGAAGGUUUUCGGAUCGUAAAACUCUGUUGUGAGGGAAGAACACGUACCAACUAACUAUUGGUACCUUGACGGUACCUCACCAGAAAGCCACGGCUAACUACGUGCCAGCAGCCGCCGUAA
This 512-nucleotide ribosomal RNA is filed under the name uncultured bacterium. Its description in RNAcentral is "partial 16S ribosomal RNA". It matches the Rfam family "Bacterial small subunit ribosomal RNA", at positions 28 to 523 of the family's 1533-position model. The record is from RNAcentral.